CUACAGGCUUAACACAUGCAAGUCGCGGGGCAGCAUGAAGGAUGCUUGCAUCCUUUGAUGGCGACCGGCGCACGGGUGAGUAACGCGUAUCCAACCUGCCUGUUACCACGGCACAGCCCGUCGAAAGGCGGAUUAAUGCCGUAUGUGGUCCUUUGCGGGCAUCUAAUUAGGACUAAAGGUUCAGCGGUAACGGAUGGGGAUGCGUCCGAUUAGCUAGACGGCGGGGUAACGGCCCACCGUGGCGACGAUCGGUAGGGGUUCUGAGAGGAAGGUCCCCCACACUGGAACUGAGACACGGUCCAGACUCCUACGGGAGGCAGCAGUGAGGAAUAUUGGUCAAUGGGCGUAAGCCUGAACCAGCCAAGUAGCGUGAGGGAAGACUGCCCUAUGGGUUGUAAACCUCUUUUGUGCGGGGAUAAAGUGUGGGACGUGUCCCAUAUUGCAGGUACCGCACGAAUAAGGACCGGCUAAUUCCGUGCCAGCAGCCGCGGUAAUACGGAAGGUCCGGGCGUUAUCCGGAUUUAUUGGGUUUAAAGGGAGCGCAGGCCGUCCUUUAAGCGUGCUGUGAAAUGCCGCGGCUCAACCGUGGCACUGCAGCGCGAACUGGAGGACUUGAGUACGCACGAGGUAGGCGGAAUUCGUGGUGUAGCGGUGAAAUGCUUAGAUAUCACGAAGAACUCCGAUUGCGAAGGCAGCUUACCGGAGCGCAACUGACGCUGAGGCUCGAAAGCGCGGGUAUCGAACAGGAUUAGAUACCCUGGUAGUCCGCGCGGUAAACGAUGGAUGCCCGCCGUUGGGGUUUUGAUUUCAGCGGCCAAGCGAAAGCGUUAAGCAUCCCACCUGGGGAGUACGCCGGCAACGGUGAAACUCAAAGGAAUUGACGGGGGCCCGCACAAGCGGAGGAACAUGUGGUUUAAUUCGAUGAUACGCGAGGAACCUUACCCGGGCUUGAAUUGCAGGAGAACGAUCCAGAGAUGGUGAGGCCCUUCGGGGCUCCUGUGAAGGUGCUGCAUGGUUGUCGUCAGCUCGUGCCGUGAGGUGUCGGCUCAAGUGCCAUAACGAGCGCAACCCUUAUCACUAGUUACUAACAGGUGAAGCUGAGGACUCUGGUGAGACUGCCAGCGUAAGCUGUGAGGAAGGUGGGGAUGACGUCAAAUCAGCACGGCCCUUACGUCCGGGGCUACACACGUGUUACAAUGGGGGGUACAGAGGGCCGCUACCACGCGAGUGGAUGCCAAUCCCAAAAACCUCUCUCAGUUCGGACUGGAGUCUGCAACCCGACUCCACGAAGCUGGAUUCGCUAGUAAUCGCGCAUCAGCCACGGCGCGGUGAAUACGUUCCCGGGCCUUGUACACACCGCCCGUCAAGCCAUGGGAGCCGGGGGUACCUGAAGUGCGUAACCGCGAGGAGCGCCCUAGGGUAAAACUGGUGACUGGGGCUAAGUAG
This 1446-nucleotide ribosomal RNA is filed under the name uncultured organism. Its description in RNAcentral is "SSU rRNA". It matches the Rfam family "Bacterial small subunit ribosomal RNA". The record is from RNAcentral.